GAUGAACGCUGGCGGCGUGCCUAAUACAUGCAAGUCGAGCGAACAGACGAGGGGCUUGCUCCUCUGACGUUAGCGGCGGACGGGUGAGUAACACGUGGAUAACCUACCUAUAAGACUGGGAUAACUUCGGGAAACCGGAGCUAAUACCGGAUAAUAUAUUGAACCGCAUGGUUCAAUAGUGAAAGACGGUUUUGCUGUCACUUAUAGAUGGAUCCGCGCCGCAUUAGCUAGUUGGUAAGGUAACGGCUUACCAAGGCAACGAUGCGUAGCCGACCUGAAAGGGUGAUCGGCCACACUGGAACUGAGACACGGUCCAGACUCCUACGGGAGGCAGCAGUAGGGAAUCUUCCGCAAUGGGCGAAAGCCUGACGGAGCAACGCCGCGUGAGUGAUGAAGGUCUUCGGAUCGUAAAACUCUGUUAUUAGGGAAGAACAAAUGUGUAAGUAACUAUGCACGUCUUGACGGUACCUAAUCAGAAAGCCACGGCUAACUACGUG
Molecule: ribosomal RNA, 497 nt
Filed under: uncultured bacterium
Lineage: Bacteria
Description: partial 16S ribosomal RNA
Rfam family: Bacterial small subunit ribosomal RNA
Source: RNAcentral